AUUUUGGCUCAAGCACUCUAAUAGCAUACAAUAAUAUAAACUGCUAACACUAACAUUCAGUUCAGUAGCUGCUGAAGAAGCUGUCUUCACCCAGGAAAGGAAAGAGUCUCUUACAAAUCUUGCGAUUACUGCACUGUAAUGAGUUAAUACAGACUGCAGCUUGUUAAAAGGGCUGAGAUGAACCAGCAGAUAUAUGUGGGGAGGUUUAUGCUAGCACCUACUCCUACAGGGUAUGAGUCAGGCCAGUGCUGUUGCUUUUUCACUUUUAUAAGCAUUAAACUUUGCAAGCUUUUGAGCUACUCUGAAAUUUCAGGUACAGAUUUUUUAACUGACUAACAAGCUAAAAUGUCUGCAGGCUGAUAAAAAUGCAAAACAAUCUUAAAAAAAACCAACCUAACACAAGUAAGCGAGCAGAAGAAAUAAUGACUAAAGAAAAAAAGGAAAAGGUGGGUCUAUGUAGGAGUCACAGUGCAAGAGUAAAACCAAAGGUCUAAACGUUGAAUGUUUCAAGUAUUAUACAGAUGUAUAAUGUUUUAAAGAUGAUUUACUAACUUGUCUCAUUCAAAGAUUUACUUAUUAGCUGUAAUCCAGUCCAGCCUCUCUCUUAAUUUGAGCUCUGACCUGUGGGGUUUAAGAUUAUAUACAUUCAGUGGGUAGCGCUCUCUUUUUAAAGCAAACAAUCAAAAAAACCCCCAACCUUAAAACAUUGAUCUAAGCAUGGCAACAUGCUUAGACACAUCACAUCUGCUCUGAAGAGAGAAGUGACUGCUUGAAGGAGACAGGAAGGUGAGAGCAAAGGGUUAUGUUUGAGUCACCUUCUCACUGUGGCUAGUGUAACUCUUCUGACUCCUUUGACUUGUGAGGAAGCUGAGGAGGAGCAGGAAAAUCAGUCUCCAUUUUCAGGAACAGAAGUGAGACUGACCUUUAACUGACCAUUCAAGCCAACUGACUGACCAUUUAAGCCGUGAUUUUGCUAAGCAGACCUUCAGGCUCUUCAAGGCUUUCCCUGCUUUUGCUGUGCCGGCGUGUGAGGCUUCUGUGGCUGGUACAAGUGCAGAACUGGCAGAAGAUGCUACACUGUGCAUGAGAAGGAAAAAAACCAGGCGAUAUGAAAACAAUGGAGCCCUCUUGGCAGGAGGCCAGCCCGAAGCCAUCUAUUACCCUCCGUGCUGAAGUUCUGACAAGGAGAACAAGGCAGCUGUCCUUAUGGUAAUUGAUAUUAAUGACUGAGGUUAGAGUCCAUCGAGCCAGCUUGGGACUUAACAACAGACAAAGAGAAACCCCAGCCCAGCUCUGUAGCAAUAGGGGCAGAGUAGUCUGAAGGCAAAUCAAUGAAAUGGGAGCAGA
Molecule: non-coding RNA, 1347 nt
Organism: Phalacrocorax carbo (great cormorant)
Lineage: Eukaryota; Metazoa; Chordata; Aves; Suliformes; Phalacrocoracidae
Source: RefSeq, a predicted model, not a curated record